Molecule: ribosomal RNA, 432 nt
Filed under: uncultured bacterium
Lineage: Bacteria
Description: partial 16S ribosomal RNA
Rfam family: Bacterial small subunit ribosomal RNA
Source: RNAcentral
AACGAACGCUGGCGGCAUGCCUAACACAUGCAAGUCGAACGAGACCUUUGGGUCUAGUGGCGCACGGGUGCGUAACGCGUGGGAACCUGCCCUUAGGUUCGGAAUAACUCCCCGAAAGGGGUGCUAAUACCGGAUAAUGUCUUCGGACCAAAGAUUUAUCGCCUUUGGAUGGGCCCGCGUUGGAUUAGCUAGUUGGUAGGGUAAAAGCCUACCAAGGCGACGAUCCAUAGCUGGUCUGAGAGGAUGAUCAGCCACACUGGGACUGAGACACGGCCCAGACUCCUACGGGAGGCAGCAGUGGGGAAUAUUGGACAAUGGGCGAAAGCCUGAUCCAGCAAUGCCGCGUGAGUGAUGAAGGCCUUAGGGUUGUAAAGCUCUUUUACCCGGGAUGAUAAUGACAGUACCGGGAGAAUAAGCUCCGGCUAACUCCGU